This 459-nucleotide ribosomal RNA is filed under the name uncultured bacterium. RNAcentral describes it as "partial 16S ribosomal RNA". It matches the Rfam family "Bacterial small subunit ribosomal RNA", at positions 338 to 795 of the family's 1533-position model. The record is from RNAcentral.
CCUACGGGGGGCAGCAGUGAGGAAUAUUGGUCAAUGGGCGGGAGCCUGAACCAGCCAAGUCGCGUGAGGGAUGACGGCCCUAUGGGUUGUAAACCUCUUUUGCCGGGGAGCAAAGGGCCGCCCGUGUGCGGUUUGGAGAGUACCCGGAGAAAAAGCAUCGGCUAACUCCGUGCCAGCAGCCGCGGUAAUACGGAGUAUGCGAGCGUUUUCCGGAUUUAUUGGGUUUAAAGGGUGCGCAGGAGGAUUUUUAAGUCAGCGGUCAAAUCGUGGGGCUCAACCCCAUCCAGCCGUUGAAACUGGGGAUCUAGAGUGUGCGAGAGGUAUGCGGAAUGCGUGGUGUAGCGGUGAAAUGCAUAGAUAUCACGCAGAACCCCGAUUGCGAAGGCAGCAUACCGGUGCACAACUGACGCUCAGGCACGAAAGCGUGGGUAUCGAACAGGAUUAGAUACCCCAGUAGUC